This 293-nucleotide ribosomal RNA is filed under the name Bacillus pumilus. RNAcentral's name for it is "partial 16S ribosomal RNA". It matches the Rfam family "Bacterial small subunit ribosomal RNA", at positions 1217 to 1512 of the family's 1533-position model. Lineage: Bacteria; Bacillati; Bacillota; Bacilli; Caryophanales; Bacillaceae. The record is from RNAcentral.
CACACGUGCUACAAUGGACAGAACAAAGGGCUGCGAGACCGGGUUAGCCAAUCCCACAAAUCUGUUCUCAGUUCGGAUCGCAGUCUGCAACUCGACUGCGUGAAGCUGGAAUCGCUAGUAAUCGCGGAUCAGCAUGCCGCGUGAAUACGUUCCCGGGCCUUGUACACACCGCCCGUCACACCACGAGAGUUUGCAACACCCGAAGUCGGUGAGGUAACCUUUAUGGAGCCAGCCGCCGAAGUGGGGGCAGAUGAUUGGGGGUGAAGUCGUAACAAGGUAGCCGUAUCGGAAGG